This is a non-coding RNA of Podarcis lilfordi (Lilford's wall lizard), 82 nucleotides long. Lineage: Eukaryota; Metazoa; Chordata; Lepidosauria; Squamata; Lacertidae. The record is from the annotation of a GenBank genome assembly.
GCACCUGGGUUGCUCAGUUGGUUAGAGCAUGAUGCUGACAAUGCCAAGGUUGCAGGUUCGAUCCCCAUAUAGGACAGCUGCA